UCGCCGGAGAGUCACGGAUCCGUCCCCUCCGUCGCGGGAUUGGCCGGAGUGCCGCUGGGACGCGUCUCUGCCUCCUCGUUCACGUCGCCUCCUUCUACCGCCUAUGUUGCCGUCGCCUACAUGUCUAACAGGUGCCACAUUGAACUCAUCUUGUCCGAGAAGGAAGAGCCAGUGAAGAAAGAGGCUGAGUCCCAGAUUGCACCAAGAAGGCUCAGAGGAAGAAAGCUUGGUUUAAUUGUUGGCUUAUUCGUUAGAGCAUCUUGUAGCAUCUGGUUUUGGCUGAGUGGAAAUUUUGGCUUGUUACCGUCCAAAUACUGCUGGAUAUUACUUUGUGAACCGUUGAUGACCCCCCUGUGUACGAGAUCGAAUCUGGUUGUGUUUUGGGAUAUUUUUCAUAUUGGUGUCU
Molecule: long non-coding RNA, 406 nt
Organism: Lolium rigidum
Lineage: Eukaryota; Viridiplantae; Streptophyta; Magnoliopsida; Poales; Poaceae
Exons: 3
Source: RefSeq, a predicted model, not a curated record